Molecule: ribosomal RNA, 394 nt
Filed under: uncultured bacterium
Lineage: Bacteria
Description: partial 16S ribosomal RNA
Rfam family: Bacterial small subunit ribosomal RNA
Source: RNAcentral
CCUACGGGCGGCAGCAGUGAGGAAUAUUGGUCAAUGGUCGGAAGACUGAACCAGCCAUGCCGCGUGCAGGAUGACGGUUCUAUGAGUUGUAAACCGCUUUUGUCCGGGAACAAUAGCUCUUACGCGUCGCGGUUUGAAUGUACCUGAAGAAUAAGGAUCGGCUAACUCCGUGCCAGCAGCCGCGGUAAUACGGAGGAUUCGAGCGUUAUCCGGAUUUAUUGGGUUUAAAGGGUGCGUAGGCUGUCGGAUAAGUUAGCGGUCAAAUGUCGGGGCUUAACCCCGGGCCUGCCUCUGAUACUGGUCGACUAGAGUGCGAGUGCAGCAGGCGGAAUGAGUGGUGUAGCGGUGAAAUGCAUAGAUAUUGCUCAGAACACCGAUUGCGAAGGCAGCAUGC